Hevea brasiliensis (rubber tree) is the source of this 484-nucleotide long non-coding RNA. RefSeq lists it as uncharacterized. Lineage: Eukaryota; Viridiplantae; Streptophyta; Magnoliopsida; Malpighiales; Euphorbiaceae. The transcript is spliced from 2 exons. The record is from RefSeq and is a predicted model, not a curated record.
CGGAAAAGUCUCCGAAUUGGAUCGAGGUUUUGGCUAGCCCCCCAUUGUCAGACGUCCCGAGCGCGUUCCCGAAGUCGGAAUCGGCAAAGGUGAGCCGGGACAGCCUUCUUCCUCCGCCCAGCCGCCUCAGUGACCAUCGUCAAGUUUGUGAGUAGAAUAUUAAUUUUAAUUAUAAUUUCGAUAUUAUUAUAUGUUCAAGCAUGCCCAUGCAUCACUUAUAUGCAUAUAUUUAUGUAGUUAAACUCUAGGCACGAUUUAUGUUGCAUUCAUAACUGUUGAUGUGCCAUGGAUGUUGUUGUGGUAAUUUGGAGCAGUGUGCGUGCGUUGGCGUGCGUGUGAUGUGGUGUGGACUAUGGAUAGGACGGGGCAGUCACGGCUUGAGUAAUUCGCUGGGACCCGAUCCUUCGAGGGGUAGUCACGGCUUGAGUAAUUCGCUGGGACCCUCGAUUUGGUUAUUAAGUGGAAGUCCGAGCUUGAGUAAUUC